UACGUAGGGGGCAAGCGUUGUUCGGAAUUACUGGGCGUAAAGGGCGCGUAGGCGGCACGGCAAGUCGGGAGUGAAAGCCCGGGGCUCAACCCCGGAGGGUCUCUCGAAACUGCCGAGCUAGAGUGCGGAAGAGGCAAUCGGAAUUCCCAGUGUAGCGGUGAAAUGCGUAGAUAUUGGGAAGAACACCGGUGGCGAAGGCGGCCUGCUGGGCAGUUUGGCUGACACUGAGGCGCGACAGCGUGGGGAGCAAACAGG
Molecule: ribosomal RNA, 255 nt
Filed under: uncultured bacterium
Lineage: Bacteria
Description: partial 16S ribosomal RNA
Rfam family: Bacterial small subunit ribosomal RNA
Source: RNAcentral